Molecule: small nuclear RNA, 163 nt
Organism: Cornus florida
Lineage: Eukaryota; Viridiplantae; Streptophyta; Magnoliopsida; Cornales; Cornaceae
Product: U1 spliceosomal RNA
Exons: 1
Source: RefSeq, a predicted model, not a curated record
AUACUUACCUGGACGGGGUCAAUGGGUGAUCAAAAAGGCUCAUGGUUUAGGUUGGUGACCUCCAUUGCACUCAGGAGGGGUGCCCACCUAAGGUAGGUCUACUCAAGUAGUGAACCUGUGUCAUAAUUUGUGGUAGUGGGGGCCUGCGUUUGCGCAGCCCUUG